Molecule: long non-coding RNA, 1072 nt
Organism: Ailuropoda melanoleuca (giant panda)
Lineage: Eukaryota; Metazoa; Chordata; Mammalia; Carnivora; Ursidae
Exons: 3
Source: RefSeq, a predicted model, not a curated record
CCCAGGCCUCAUCCCCUUAGCUAACCCUCAUCCCGUUAGCUCCAGCUCCACCACACUUGCUGUAGAGAGGUCCCCCCCUGAGGCCCAGGAACCUUCUGGACACCUGGGCUCCAGGAACAUUUGGGGCUUGGAUGGAGUUUGCCUCCUACCUUGGGGAACAGCAUGUGAUAGUGGAGAAAGGGAGGAGAGAGUUGAAUCAGGGUCCCCAUCAGCCACCAUGGAAGGAGGAAAAUGUGGCUCCUUCAGAGGCAAAUGUCCACACUGGGACCCACAGGAAGAUUUUGGAGCUUUGGGAUUUCAAAUAAGAGAUUACGGACAUGGACCUAGAGUUCUCUUCGUUGUGGCUGUUCUUCUCAGGAGCCAGACUGAUCAGCAAUGGCCAGAGAAGAAAGGGCUCUGCAGCUCUGGGAGGACAGUGUGAAACUUCAACGGUGUGCUGUAAAUCGGGGCCAGAUUCCGCCACAGUCCCCAGUCUGCGCCUCUGCCCGCCUCCCUGGAGAUUUCCUUCCAACGCUCCAUGCUGCUGGCCUGCUCCUGCAUGUCCAGACCACUGUAGCUGCCGUGCAGAUUCUCCUGGGGGGUGGGCACUGCCUAUGGGGUGCCCCCUCUCCUGACACUGGGGAACUCUCUGCCUCUUGAGGAUCCUGUGGGGCUCAGGCCCGCCUAAACUCUGUGCUUUCAGCAGGGAGUCACUGCAUCCAGGCAUCUCUGGGAUCUGAAGGGAGAGGAAGGAAGGGCAGUUGGAUCUGGAUCUGGAGGAGAGAAAAAGGGAGAAAGUUGGGCGGGCAGAGAUAUCAAGGCAGGACACGAGGUCUCUGUGGCACUGGGAUUCUGGUCCUCCCCGGAGCAGAGCCAGCAGCGUGGUCUGCCCUGUGGUCAUGUCACCUGUUUCCCACGGGCCAGUUUUUAAUAUGGGGUUUGAUUGCAAUCACCACUGGACACCCCAAUUAAUUCAUUGUGUAUGUUUGCUUCUAUGUGUAUACAAAUGUAUGCAAGUAAGUGCAAUAUAUGUGGUCCUAGUGUUAUUUUUGUUCAGAUUUUCAGGCUGGGAAUGUGGGGUUCAUGGGGGCAU